RNAcentral lists this ribosomal RNA (253 nucleotides) under uncultured bacterium. RNAcentral's name for it is "partial 16S ribosomal RNA". It matches the Rfam family "Bacterial small subunit ribosomal RNA", at positions 524 to 776 of the family's 1533-position model. The record is from RNAcentral.
UACGUAGGGUCCGAGCGUUGUCCGGAAUUAUUGGGCGUAAAGGGCUCGUAGGCGGUUUGUCGCGUCGGGAGUGAAAACACGGGGCUUAACCCCGUGCCUGCUUCCGAUACGGGCAGACUAGAGGUAUGCAGGGGAGAACGGAAUUCCUGGUGUAGCGGUGAAAUGCGCAGAUAUCAGGAGGAACACCGGUGGCGAAGGCGGGUCUCUGGGCAAUAACUGACGCUGAGGAGCGAAAGCGUGGGGAGUGAACAGG